This 116-nucleotide ribosomal RNA is filed under the name Pteropus alecto (black flying fox). Lineage: Eukaryota; Metazoa; Chordata; Mammalia; Chiroptera; Pteropodidae. The record is from RNAcentral.
GUCUAUGCCAUGCCACCCUGAACGUGCUCUAUCUCAUCUGAUCUCAAGCUAAACAGGGUUAGGCCUGGUUAGUACUUGGAUGGGAGACCACCUAGGAAUACCAGGUGCUCUAGGCG